Molecule: long non-coding RNA, 975 nt
Organism: Vigna angularis (adzuki bean)
Lineage: Eukaryota; Viridiplantae; Streptophyta; Magnoliopsida; Fabales; Fabaceae
Exons: 2
Source: RefSeq, a predicted model, not a curated record
CACAGGUCAUUAAAAUGUUCUCUUCCUCAUUUUCUCUUUUUGGUUGGUUUGUUUGCUUAAAUAGGACUCUAGGACCGAGGAAUAUGAAGAAACAGAAGAAGAAUUUCUUAAAAGGUAUGCUAAAGCAGCUGAGGCAUUGGAAAAUGGUUCAGUUAUUGAAGAAGGGACGAUGAAGACCAGGAACUGGAGCUGGAAAUAGGUAAUGUCGCGCCUCUCUCAGAGUCGAGCCCCACUUGCUGUCAUCAUUCGUCGUGGUCGGAGACAACACCAACGUCACUAACGGAGGCAUUUUUUUUUUCCGGAGUAUUGCAGAUUUGGUUUGCUUAGUCGCUGCUGCUGCGUUGUGUUGCAGUGACACGCAUGGUGGCUAGAAGCUGCGGGUGGAUCACGAUGCAGAUCUGCAUUUUUUUGGAGAUGGAGUAGAAGAUAACACCGAUCUUUUGGCGCGAUACUCCUGGAAGCGACCCUGGUGAAAAACGACGCCAACCAACCUAGGCUGCUGCCGCCGUCCCCGAUCGGAGUUGUCCCCGGCGCCUCGUACAUGGGAGAGAUGAAGAAGCUGAAGAACACACCUUUUUGUUCCGAAUUGAGCCAUCCGAAGUGUACUUUCCAGAUCUGUAAACAUCACUACGUUGCGUGUUAUUUACGAGAGAAAAACUGUGAAUAUGGUGCAGUGAUGUUUGGGGAAAAUAAUGGGGUUGGAUAGAAUAAGUAAUUAGGGUUUAAGUGAGGGUAAAAGAGAAAUUGUAGAAGUUACGGGGCAGGAAGAAAACAAGAGGUGCAGGAAGAAAUUAUCCAAUAAAAAACGAUGUAAGUAACACAUGCGAGAGUUACUCUCUCAACCACCACUCCUACACCUAUUUUUUUUUUCCUUCAAUAAUAUUAGAAGGAAGGUAAAUAUGUUACAUUAUAUAUCCGUUGAAGACGGAUAUUCUUAAAAUAAGAUAUAAGUUGUGUAAUAUCUUAUUUUCUUAA